GACGAACGCUGGCGGCGCGCCUAACACAUGCAAGUCGAACGAGAGAUGAAGAGCUUGCUCUUCAGAUCGAGUGGCGAACGGGUGAGUAACGCGUGAGGAACCUGCCUCAAAGAGGGGGACAACAGUUGGAAACGACUGCUAAUACCGCAUAAGCCCACGGCUCGGCAUCGAGCAGAGGGAAAAGGAGCAAUCCGCUUUGAGAUGGCCUCGCGUCCGAUUAGCUAGUUGGUGAGGUAACGGCCCACCAAGGCGACGAUCGGUAGCCGGACUGAGAGGUUGAACGGCCACAUUGGGACUGAGACACGGCCCAGACUCCUACGGGAGGCAGCAGUGGGGAAUAUUGCACAAUGGGGGAAACCCUGAUGCAGCGACGCCGCGUGAGUGAUGAAGUAUUUCGGUAUGUAAAAACUCUAUCAGCAGGGAAGAUAAUGACGGUACCUGACUAAGAAGCACCGGCUAAAAUACGUG
This 468-nucleotide ribosomal RNA is filed under the name uncultured bacterium. Its description in RNAcentral is "bacterial SSU rRNA". It matches the Rfam family "Bacterial small subunit ribosomal RNA", at positions 28 to 507 of the family's 1533-position model. The record is from RNAcentral.